Molecule: transfer RNA, 68 nt
Filed under: Malapterurus electricus (electric catfish)
Lineage: Eukaryota; Metazoa; Chordata; Actinopteri; Siluriformes; Malapteruridae
Description: tRNA-Ser (AGY)
Source: RNAcentral
GAAAGAGGCAAGAGGCAAUUAAGGACUGCUAAUCCUUAUACCCACAGUUAAACUCUGUGGCUCCUUCA